This 236-nucleotide ribosomal RNA is filed under the name uncultured bacterium. RNAcentral's name for it is "partial 16S ribosomal RNA". It matches the Rfam family "Bacterial small subunit ribosomal RNA", at positions 15 to 240 of the family's 1533-position model. The record is from RNAcentral.
GAUCCUGGCUCAGGACGAACGCUGGCGGCGCGCCUAACACAUGCAAGUCGAACGGAGAUACCAGAGGGGCUUGCUCCACCGGUAUCUUAGUGGCGGACGGGUGAGUAACACGUGAGCAACCUGCCUUUCAGAGAGGGAUAACGUUUGGAAACGAACGCUAAUACCACAUAACAUCACGAUACGGCAUCGUAUUGUGAUCAAAGGAGCAAUCCGCUGAGAGAUGGGCUCGCGUCCGA